GAUGAAGAACGCAGCGAAAUGCGAUAAGUAAUGUGAAUUGCAGAAUUCAGUGAAUCAUCGAAUCUUUGAACGCACAUUGCGCCCGUCAGUAUUCUGGCGGGCAUGCCUGUUCGAGCGUCAUUACGCCCCUCAAGUCCCCUGUGGACUUGGUGUUGGGGAUCGGCGAGGCUGGUUUUCCAGCACAUCCGUCCCUUAAAUUAAUUGGCGGUCUCGCCGUGGCCCUCCUCUGCGCAGUAGUAAAACACUCGCAACAGGAGCCCGGCGCGGUCCACUGCCGUAAAACCCCCCAACUUUUUAUAGUUGACCUCGAAUCAGGUAGGACUACCCGCUGAACUUAAGCAUAUCAAUAAGCGGAGGA
Molecule: unclassified non-coding RNA, 358 nt
Filed under: soil metagenome
Description: partial contains 5.8S ribosomal RNA, internal transcribed spacer 2, and large subunit ribosomal RNA
Rfam family: 5.8S ribosomal RNA (bases 1-120)
Source: RNAcentral